CAAAGGACUCUGCGUUCAGCUGAAGUUUAUGACCCUAACAAGAACCGGUGGAGCUUUAUUUCAGAUAUGAGCACAGCUAUGGUGCCAUUUAUUGGUGUAGUUUAUGAUGGAAAGUGGUUUCUAAAAGGGCUUGGGUCCCAUCGUGAGGUCAUGAGUGAAGCAUAUGAACCUGAAACUAACAGCUGGACUCCUGUUAGUGAUGGGAUGGUUGCUGGUUGGCGCAACCCUAGCAUCUCUUUAAAUGGACUGCUCUAUGCUUUGGAUUGCAGGGAUGGCU
This 277-nucleotide unclassified non-coding RNA is filed under the name Hevea brasiliensis (rubber tree). Lineage: Eukaryota; Viridiplantae; Streptophyta; Magnoliopsida; Malpighiales; Euphorbiaceae. The record is from RNAcentral.